GAAGAAUGCUUGUACCAUCCACCGCAGUUCAGCCUCCUUUGAUUUCGUAUUCCCAGAGCAAAGGUCUGCCUAUGCUUUAAUUGUCGUAUGGGUCUUCGAUGUUCUGUUCCAUCUCGUCUACCAUAAAUUUGUCCUCCGUAUCCUGAAGGAUAUAAGAAUUACUGAUACAUGCUUUGUUUGGCUCCAAUGCAGAGGAUGAGAAUGGCAACUCCUGUCAUGUUUUGGAUCUUUAAUGUCCCUAUAGACCCUUAUGGGAAAGCUUUAUUCUCCAGGCUGUGACACUCAUAGCAGAUGAUAGACCCUUUAAGAGGUAAAACCUGGUUUAAAUCGACCAAAGGGAUAUACUCCUGGAAGAGAUAGUAGGAAUGGAGCCUUGAUCAAUCAUACACACUCUCUCUCCUCUCUCUGUCCCUCCAUUUUUCCUUACUAUUUUUAGAAAGAUGAGCAGGUUUUCCACCAGCUAUUCACCCACAUGAGGACUCUGCUGAAGAGGAGGAACCCACUGAUCACAGAAUGAAGUUUUUAGCAUUGUGACCCAAAAUAAAUCUUACCUCCUUAAGUA
RNAcentral lists this long non-coding RNA (562 nucleotides) under Rattus norvegicus (Norway rat). RNAcentral describes it as "long non-coding RNA NONRATT008485". The record is from RNAcentral. Lineage: Eukaryota; Metazoa; Chordata; Mammalia; Rodentia; Muridae.